Long non-coding RNA from Fukomys damarensis (Damara mole-rat), 370 nucleotides. RefSeq lists it as uncharacterized. NCBI's taxonomy places the organism in Eukaryota, Metazoa, Chordata, Mammalia, Rodentia, Bathyergidae. The record is from RefSeq and is a predicted model, not a curated record. The transcript is spliced from 3 exons.
AGCUCCCCAGCUCUGAGCGCCCCAGUAUUAGCCUCUGGGGGCUCCAGCUCCCCAAAACCCCUUGUCUCUUGGUCCUUCCAGAAUCACCUCCUCGAUCCAGACUCAGGUUCCCUCAUACCACAGCCACUGGGUCCCUAGGCCCUUCCUCCUAGACCCUCCCAGUCCUUCCCUGACAGGACACAGAGAGAAGGUGGCCAUCUACACACCAGGAAAACUGCCCUCAGCGGGAAUGGCACCACGCUGGCUCCUGGAGGCCACGCCAGAGACCUCCUUAGUGAACCCUGUUUAUACAAGGCCGUAAUUCUUGCUGAUCACACAGUACACUACUAUGGCCGUAUGUUCUGUGCAUGUAAGAGUUGUGCAAAUAAAA